GCUUCUUAUCAAGAUAGCCGAAAGUGAAGGACUUCGGGUCAUGCAAGAGUGCAUAACCAAGGAACGAAGCAGGCAGUACGCGGUGAUGUACCUUUGCUACUCAGUGGAGUAGGCGGCAGGGUUGAUGGAGAAGACGGUACAAUCCCAGAGGCGACCAAACCUAUGAGAGAAUUACUCCAAGUUGGGGUGAAAACUUCCUGCAUUCCAGAAGUUCGAUGGUAUUGAGAAGGUGAAUCACAGUAGCUAACUCAACGCAAGGAGUGCAAAUACUUCAAGUGCUUCAGAAGUGUGAGCAAAGAGCAGGCGAAGGCUAGUAACCAGCUCGAUGCAUGGAGUACAACCUCGAGGAGGUGGGUGAAGUCAAGUAACCUUUGCCUUCUCA
This 382-nucleotide long non-coding RNA is filed under the name Musa acuminata (dwarf banana). RNAcentral describes it as "long non-coding RNA (MACU_LNC005691)". Lineage: Eukaryota; Viridiplantae; Streptophyta; Magnoliopsida; Zingiberales; Musaceae. The record is from RNAcentral.